RNAcentral lists this ribosomal RNA (594 nucleotides) under Leia winthemii. RNAcentral's name for it is "eukaryotic LSU rRNA". It matches the Rfam family "Eukaryotic large subunit ribosomal RNA", at positions 389 to 834 of the family's 3401-position model. Lineage: Eukaryota; Metazoa; Arthropoda; Insecta; Diptera; Mycetophilidae. The record is from RNAcentral.
UCAAGAGUACGUGAAACCGCUUAGGGGUUAAGCCCGAUGAACCUGAAUAUCUGAAUUGAGAAAUUCAAUAUUGUUAACUUAAUUGUUGAUGGUAUGCACUUUUCUCAUAGUAGGACAUUGCGAUCCAUUAGUAUAUCUCUUUGAGAUGAUUUAUCAUACGGCCCAUUAAUUUGUUUAAUCUAUCUGCAGUAUUUUUAUAUUGUAUGAUUAAUAUUAUUGUGGUGACCUAGUAAAUAGCUGAUGGAACUUAAAAAUCAUGCAACCAUGCAAAUGUAUCACGGUUUUUAUAUAUUUUAUAUAUUUGAAUGCAGUGAUCGCAUGUAUUUGAUUAGCAAUGCGAUAGAUUUGGGAUACCUUCGGGACCCGUCUUGAAACACGGACCAAGAAGUCUAACAUGUGUGUAAGUCAUUGGGUAUUAAAAAACCUAAAGGCGAAAUUAAAAUAACUAUUUUAAAUGGGAUUACAAGCAAUUUUGAAAAUAGAUUGUUUCUCCAUCCCGGGGCGUUCUAUUUAAACAUGGUUUAAGCAAUUAGAUCCUCUGUUUGAGAGCGUACCUUGAACAUACAUGCUGUGACCCGAAAGAUGGUGAACUAA